CCAUUGGAUGAUGAAGAGAUGGUCUCCUACAUUCUUGCCGGCCUUGAUGUUGAUUUCAAUCCUCUUGUGUCCGCCAUCAUGGCACGAGUCAAACCCAUCUCUGUCACUGAGCUUUAUGCGCAGCUUCUGAGCUUUGUGG
Molecule: small nucleolar RNA, 139 nt
Organism: Phragmites australis (common reed)
Lineage: Eukaryota; Viridiplantae; Streptophyta; Magnoliopsida; Poales; Poaceae
Product: small nucleolar RNA Z247
Exons: 1
Source: RefSeq, a predicted model, not a curated record